AAAUAAUUUUGGCUUAUGGUUCCUCGGAAAUGCAAUUCCUGGAAAACAUCUAUUUGCUUUUACAAAUCAUCUAGAGCAACCAUUUGUAUUCACUAAUCAACUAAAUGUGAGAUGAAAUUGUAUUUGGUUAUACUUUUUUUUUUCUGGUAAAUAAACUUUUAUUUAUUACCAGUAGUAAUUACAAAACAUUUGGUUAUACUUUUUCUAUUUAAAAAAAAUCACUUUUUUGAAUUUAUGAAGAUGGAAUUAAAAAAAAAAAUCUAAAGUAUUUUUUCAAAUUUGAAAUUCAAGCUAAAUUUAAAAUUUUAUAAUUAACUACCAAUUUUAAAAUAAAAUAAAAUAAAUAUUUAAAAGGCAAAUAAAUAUUAAAAGAAAAAAUAAAUAAUUGUCAUAAUCAAAAGACUUAUUAAUUUCCACAAUGGCAACGUCGAAAUAAAUAAAUAAACAGAGAAAGUUCACACAUUGGAAGAACACGUUUUGUCCCGCAAGUUCUUGAGAAAUGACAACAUGAUUUGUUUUUCUACGGAGAAGCCAUAAAAAAGUCUACACAAACUUGUUAGACGAAAAUUCUGACAAAAAGUCGCUGACUAAAAAAUAGAGUAUAUACUAUUUUUAAUUACUUUCUCCGCCCGAAUAUGGAGUUAUGGAUAUGAAGCCUGACAUGGUUGACAAUCCAAUUUACAGAAACCAUUUUCUCUUUUGUUUAUAAGGAAAGUUUAUUUGUAGAGAUUCUCCUAGGUAAAGGUUUGUUUUGACUUUUGAGGAAGUUUAGAAAAUGAAUAGAGUUUGGACCUAAUUAGACAUUUAUAAUUAUAAUUUGGGUAUUUUAAGCAAUAGUUUGAGAGAGGAGAGUGAGGAGAGAGGAGAGAGGUGAGAGGAGAGGUGAAUAAGAAUUGGAAGAAACAAGAGAAAUGCUAGAUACAGGUUGUGUUCGAUUAAUACAGGUUAUAUACGUCGAAUACAAUCUGAUGACAUACAAACUGUAUUCUAUACAUACAGACAGAUAUAAGUGGUGUCACUAUGUUGAUGUUUACCCUAAAAGAAAACAGUUGAAUUUGUAAGCAAGGAUCGAAUUAUUCAGAUAAAAUGAAGUAAUUAUAAUGAAUAAUACUAUAAAUAAGAAUAGAAAUAAGCAGUUGAAGUAUAGAGAUCAAUAUAUCCUAAACUGUCUUGAGUCUAAAAACUCAUAAGACCAUGUCAUUAUCGACACAAAAUUAAGGUUGUAAGGAGAGUAAUAUUAUUUGAUCGAAAGUAUUCGAUAAGGUACAUGGUCAUGAUCCGAUAGUUUAUAUAACGAUGGUUUUUCAGGAUCUGAUUAUUGCGCAUUAACUCCUCCAUAAUACAUGAUCAAUGAUUAAAUAAAUGACAUUAAUAACAAAGAGCAAACACACUGGUGUUAUCCACAGGUCUGUUACAUAACGACUAUUAAUGGCGUN
Molecule: long non-coding RNA, 1436 nt
Filed under: Capsicum annuum
Lineage: Eukaryota; Viridiplantae; Streptophyta; Magnoliopsida; Solanales; Solanaceae
Description: long non-coding RNA (CANN_LNC011563)
Source: RNAcentral